UGCCAGACUCCUACGGGAGGCAGCAGUGGGGAAUAUUGGGCAAUGGGCGCAAGCCUGACCCAGCAACGCCGCGUGAAGGAAGAAGGCUUUCGGGUUGUAAACUUCUUUUAUCAGGGACGAAGCAAGUGACGGUACCUGAUGAAUAGGCCACGGCUAACUACGUGCCAGCAGCCGCGGUAAUACGUAGGUGGCGAGCGUUAUCCGGAUUUACUGGGUGUAAAGGGCGUGUAGGCGGGAAUGCAAGUCAGAUGUGAAAACUAUGGGCUCAACCCAUAUCCUGCAUUUGAAACUGUAUUUCUUGAGUGCUGGAGAGGCAAUCGGAAUUCCGUGUGUAGCGGUGAAAUGCGUAGAUAUACGGAGGAACACCAGUGGCGAAGGCGGCCUGCUGGGCUUUUACUGACGCUGAGGCUCGAAAGUGUGGGGAGCAAACAGGAUUAGAUACCCCGGUA
This 449-nucleotide ribosomal RNA is filed under the name uncultured bacterium. RNAcentral's name for it is "bacterial SSU rRNA". It matches the Rfam family "Bacterial small subunit ribosomal RNA", at positions 329 to 792 of the family's 1533-position model. The record is from RNAcentral.